ACUUUUCCAUGACAUUCUAAUUUUUUGCAAAGGGUCUGUAUGUCUUGGGGGUGCUGGAGACAGGAAAUCCAAGCAGGUCAUGUUAAAAAUCUUUGCAGGUAAACCCAGAACCCACAUUAUACCUCAUUUGACUUGGGAACAUUUCUUGUCCUUUCAGCUGUCUACACUAAUGGUGCAAUUGCUCACAUGUUACUUGCACCAUAUACCCAUAAACGCAACCUUAAGUGGUCAGGGGACCUGUGGUUCAUUUUACAGCUCACCACUGUGACAUACUGUACAACUGCACAACAUGUGAAAUUCAAAAAUAUGACUGUAUUUUAAAACAAACAAAAUUAAUUUUAUCUCAGUGAAUUACACAAACACUUUUAGAUAUAUGCCUGUAUACCAAGUGUGUCCAUCUUUGUCAACAAGACUUCAGUUAACUGCUGGCAUUGUUAACCACAAUUUAUAUUAUACACAGACAUGAACACAGUCCAGGCAGUUUAUGAGUGCAACAAUUCAUUCUACAUAAGGCAAGGUGUUGUAUGUUUGUAAAGCAAAGCGGCAAAGUACCAUUUGUAUACAGGUCAUUAUCAAAAUAUUGCUUCAUCUUUCAAAAAAUUAUUCUCAGUUGGCUUGCUGACUGACUGUUAAGCUUCAUAAAAAAUCUUUAGAAAGUCCUGUGAAAUGAGUUCAAGAAGAAAUACAGAAACUAUUGAAAUGAUUA
Molecule: long non-coding RNA, 706 nt
Organism: Stegastes partitus (bicolor damselfish)
Lineage: Eukaryota; Metazoa; Chordata; Actinopteri; Pomacentridae
Exons: 2
Source: RefSeq, a predicted model, not a curated record